GUAUUGUAUGAAAGGAGAACAGGUUAGCACUCCCCUUGACAAGGAUAGAAGAGGCUCUUGGGCCUGACAAAAAGCAUAUGGUCAAGGCGUUGCCACCUACUUCAUGGCAUCUAACCAUCAUUUUUA
This 126-nucleotide non-coding RNA is filed under the name Carlito syrichta (Philippine tarsier). Lineage: Eukaryota; Metazoa; Chordata; Mammalia; Primates; Tarsiidae. The record is from RNAcentral.